AUUUAAAUAAAUGAGCAAGAGAGGAGUAAGGUGUUAGAAAGUCAUCAAGAUUACUCAUUUUGCAUACAACUCAAAUUGAAAUAGAUCAAAGACUUAGGAAUUAGGCCAGAAACGUCGCAAUUGCCAGAAGAAAACAUAGGGUCAACAUUCUGUCAUAUAGGCGCUGGCACCAAGUUGCUUAACAAGACCUCCAAAGCCCAAGAAAUAAAACCAAGAAUCAGUAAAUGAGAUGCUUCUGCAAAGCAAAGGAAACCAUUAAGAGCAUGGAAAGCUUACAGAGUGGGAGAAAAUCUUGGCCAUCUAUUCCUCCAAUAAGGAAUUAAUAUCUAGAAUAUAUAAAAAAGUAAAAAAACUUAACACCAAAAAAAAAACAACAAACAAAAAACCCUAUCAAUAAAUGGGCAAAAGAACCAAACAGAAACUUCUCAAAAGAGAAAAUCCUACGGACUUGGGACUAAGGCAGGAGGAUUUUAAAUUCAAAGCCAGCCUCGGCAACUUAGCAAGACCCUGUCUCAAAAAAUAAAAAGGGCUGGGGAUGUGACUCAGAGGUUAAAUGCCCCUGGGUUCAGUCCCCAGUACAAAAAAAAAAAAAAAAGAAAAAGUGAAACACAAAUGGGCAACAAAUUCUCUCUCUCUCUCUCUCAUAUAUAUAUAAAGCCUCAAUAUGUUUAGCAGUCAGGGAACUGUAAAUCAAAACUAUGCUAAGAUUUUAUCUUACUCCAGUCAGAAUGGCAAUUAUCAGGAAUACAAACAAUAAUGAAUGUUGCUGAGGUUGUUGGGGAAAAGUAUACUUGUACAUUGUUGGUGGGACUUCAGACUAGUACAACCACUCUGGAAAGCAGUGUGGAGAUUCCUCAAAAAACUAUGGAUGAGGGCUGGGUUUGUGGCUUAGUGGUAGAGCACUCACCUAGCAUGGAUGAGGCACUGGGUUUGAUCCUCAGCA
This 943-nucleotide long non-coding RNA is filed under the name Marmota monax (woodchuck). Lineage: Eukaryota; Metazoa; Chordata; Mammalia; Rodentia; Sciuridae. The record is from RNAcentral.